AUUACGGGACUGGAUGUGGAAACUGGAUUUCAAAAUAAAAUUCAACUUCAAGUGAAUUAUCAGAUAUUUAAAGAACACAAUAACAAAUAAUUUAGGCUUGUUCACUAUUAGCGCCCUGUCUAUAUCAAAGCCAUCUUAUUUUGGAUUUCAAAGUAAAAGCCCUGUGAUUUUUCAUUUUUGAAUUACUCUUUCAAUGACUUCAGAAUGCUCUUAAAAGCAAAAGUCAUAUUUCCAAAGAGUAGUUGCAUUUUGUAUCAACACUAUCCAACCACAGCAAUUUGAAAUUGCCCAUAUUUGACCACUCUUUUAACGAUUUCAAAAUGCUCUAAAAUGGAAAAUUGCUGUUUCCACAGGGUAAUUCCACUUUAGAUCAACAGUAUACAACUCCACAGUGAUACCAUAUGUUACAGCCCAGGGCCAUUUGGGUUUAUUUCCCCUGUGUGUGUGUGUGAGAGGAGAUGCAGCACCUGUCUCCCAUCUCACUGAAUUGCAUCCCAAUUAGACUCUCCCAGCUGUUCCUGAUGAUCAGGACUUCUAGCAGCAUAAAAGUCAGCCAGCCCUAAGAUCAGGGAGCACCAGGCCAGGGAGGUUCUCUCUGGUCUGUUGUCUCCUCAGCAGCGGUUUGGUUUGGUUUGGUUUGGUUUGGUUUGGUUUGGUUUGGUUUGGUUUGGUUUGGUUUGGUUUGGUUUGGUUUGUUUUGUUUUGUUUUGUUAAGUUUUAUGUAACAACUUUGGUGGGUGCUUAAGAAAACUCUCUGUGUUUAACCGUCAGUCCUUUUUUAGGUGUAGGGUGUAGAGGAAACUUUACCCCUUCGCUUGCUUUAAAUAAAACAUUACUCGGAAAUUAUGUGAUGGUCUUUUGUAGUUUUGGUAUUAAUUUGGUUAAUAUGAGAGUUUAGUUGUUACUCGUUUUGCGUUGCUGCUGAUGUGUCUUGUUAAUCUGUGUUAUUUACGUAAAUAAAUGUUGUUUUGUUACUUUUACCACAAGAACAUGCGUCCUCAAUUGUUACCCCAGGCCCCCUAGACAGCCUGGAGUGUAACAAAUGGGGUCACACACACACACGAGCCAUAACACAGUAUGGUGCACAACAGCACUUUAAGCUGUGGUCUAAUCGAUAGAAAGUUUUUUUGACACUAACAGCAACUGUGCCAUGUGUUCACUGACCAAGCCACCUGGAUCAGGACCUUCAAUGACGAACUGGAUGAUACCAUGAGCAGUGCCUUGACAGGACCAACAAUGACUUUAAAAAAGCAAAGGAGAGUGGAAUUGUCUCCUGUGCUGUUAAACCAGACUUAUUGAAUGCUUGUGUCAAAAUAUUUGAAGACGUACUCUGUUGUCUCCACCAAAGUGAUAAUUUGAGCAACAUAAUACGGCGAAACGUUUUCAUACAUAUCUAAUGCACAUUUCCGUGAUGUUGUCAUUUACCUUUAUGUUAUCAUGACUGCACCUUUUGGACUUUACAAUUUACUCUCCUUGUAUUGAGCUGUUCACUUUUCCUGGGAUUUGUUUUCAAAGAUAAACAGAUUUACCUAUCUUUUAUGAAAAUGGUUCUAUUUCAUAACAUUACAAAUACAAAGAAAAGAUUGUGUCAUAUGUAAAGACAAGAAAUCCACUUCAGUAAAUUUUAAUAAAUAAAAUCAGACUGACUUUAUUGAUAUGGAA
Long non-coding RNA from Nothobranchius furzeri (turquoise killifish), 1662 nucleotides. RefSeq lists it as uncharacterized. The record is from RefSeq and is a predicted model, not a curated record. NCBI's taxonomy places the organism in Eukaryota, Metazoa, Chordata, Actinopteri, Cyprinodontiformes, Nothobranchiidae.